This 378-nucleotide ribosomal RNA is filed under the name Pseudosermyle phalangiphora. Its description in RNAcentral is "partial 12S ribosomal RNA". Lineage: Eukaryota; Metazoa; Arthropoda; Insecta; Phasmatodea; Diapheromeridae. The record is from RNAcentral.
UAAACUACGAUUAGAUACCCUAUUAUUUUGAUUGUUAAUAUUUCCUGGGUAGUAACAGUUAUGGUCUUUAAACCCAAAGAAUUUGGCGGUGUUUUAUUCCUUUUAGAGGAACUUGUCCCGUGAUCGAUAGUCCACGUUUUAUCUUGCUUGAUUUUAUGAUAUGUAUAUCUCCGUUAUAAGUUUAUUUUUUUAGAAUAAUUUACUUGAUAAUUUAUUAGUUAAUAUUUCAGGUCAAGGUGCAGUUUAUAAUUAAGUGGUGAUGAGUUACAAUAUUUUUAGUAUAUGAAUUUAUAUUUGAUAAUUAUAAUGAAGGUGGAUUUAAUAGUAAUUUUAUAUAUAAAAUUAAAUUGAUUAUGGCUCUAAAAUAAGCACACAUCG